UCCCUGGUGGCUCAGAUGGUAAAGCGUCUGCCUACAGUGCAGGAGACCCGGGUACAAUCCCUGGGUGGGGAA
Ovis aries (sheep) is the source of this 72-nucleotide transfer RNA. It matches the Rfam family "tRNA". Rfam says of the family: Transfer RNA (tRNA) molecules are approximately 80 nucleotides in length. Their secondary structure includes four short double-helical elements and three loops (D, anti-codon, and T loops). Lineage: Eukaryota; Metazoa; Chordata; Mammalia; Artiodactyla; Bovidae. The record is from Rfam.